Molecule: ribosomal RNA, 253 nt
Filed under: uncultured bacterium
Lineage: Bacteria
Description: partial 16S ribosomal RNA
Rfam family: Bacterial small subunit ribosomal RNA
Source: RNAcentral
UACGUAGGUGGCAAGCGUUGUCCGGAUUUAUUGGGUUUAAAGGGUGCGUAGGCGGCUUUGUAAGUCAGUGGUGAAAUAUGGCAGCUUAACUGUCAAGGUGCCAUUGAUACUGCGGAGCUUGAGUACAGAUGAGGUAGGCGGAAUUGACGGUGUAGCGGUGAAAUGCUUAGAUAUCGUCAAGAACACCUAUAGCGAAGGCAGCUUACUAGGCUGUAACUGACGCUGAGGUGCGAAAGCGUGGGGAGCAAACAGG